RNAcentral lists this transfer RNA (76 nucleotides) under Wolbachia endosymbiont of Litomosoides sigmodontis. Its description in RNAcentral is "tRNA-Met". It matches the Rfam family "tRNA". Rfam says of the family: Transfer RNA (tRNA) molecules are approximately 80 nucleotides in length. Their secondary structure includes four short double-helical elements and three loops (D, anti-codon, and T loops). The record is from RNAcentral. Lineage: Bacteria; Pseudomonadati; Pseudomonadota; Alphaproteobacteria; Rickettsiales; Anaplasmataceae.
GGCUGAGUAGCUCAGUUGGUAGAGCAGGAGGAUCAUAAUCUCUUGGUCGUGGGUUCAAUUCCCUCCUCAGCCACCA